Molecule: ribosomal RNA, 175 nt
Filed under: Osteocephalus leprieurii (Cayenne slender-legged treefrog)
Lineage: Eukaryota; Metazoa; Chordata; Amphibia; Anura; Hylidae
Description: partial 16S ribosomal RNA
Source: RNAcentral
ACGUGAUCUGAGUUCAGACCGGAGUAAUCCAGGUCAGUUUCUAUCUAUAAAGGAGUUUUUUCUAGUACGAAAGGACCGAAAAAACAUGGCCUAUACUUUAUGCAAGCCAUAAUUAUUAACUUAUGAUAAAAUCUCAAUAAGUACUUAACCCAACACUAAACUCAAAAAAAGAGUA